CCUACGGGUGGCAGCAGUGAGGAAUAUUGGUCAAUGGGCGGAAGCCUGAACCAGCCAAGUAGCGUGCAGGAUGACGGCCCUACGGGUUGUAAACUGCUUUUAUACGGGAAUAACGCGCCUUACGUGUAGGGCUUUGCAUGUACCGUAUGAAUAAGGACCGGCUAAUUCCGUGCCAGCAGCCGCGGUAAUACGGAGGGUCCGGGCGUUAUCCGGAUUUAUUGGGUGUAAAGGGCGCGUAGGCCGCCUGUCAAGCGUGGUGUGAACUGCCCGGGCUCACCCCGGGCCGGGCAGCGCGAACUGGCGGGCUGGAGUGCGCGGAAGGCAGGCGGAAUGCGUGGUGUAGCGGUGAAAUGCGUAGAUAUUGGGAGGAAC
Molecule: ribosomal RNA, 372 nt
Filed under: uncultured bacterium
Lineage: Bacteria
Description: partial 16S ribosomal RNA
Rfam family: Bacterial small subunit ribosomal RNA
Source: RNAcentral